CAGCAGCCGCGGGAAUACGAAGGGGGCUAGCGUUGUUCGGAUUUACUGGGCGUAAAGGGCGCGUAGGCGGACUGAUAAGUCAGGGGUGAAAUCCCAAGGCUCAACCUUGGAACUGCCUUUGAUACUGUUUGUCUUGAGUUCGAGAGAGGUAAGUGGAACUGCGAGUGUAGAGGUGAAAUUCGUAGAUAUUCGCAAGAACACCAGUGGCGAAGGCGGCUUACUGGCUCGAAACUGACGCUGAGGCGCGAAAGCGUGGGGAGCAAACAGGAUUAGAUACCCGAGUAGUCCCUGUCUCUUAUAC
Molecule: ribosomal RNA, 301 nt
Filed under: uncultured bacterium
Lineage: Bacteria
Description: partial 16S ribosomal RNA
Rfam family: Bacterial small subunit ribosomal RNA
Source: RNAcentral